This 2469-nucleotide long non-coding RNA is filed under the name Homo sapiens (human). RNAcentral's name for it is "HSALNT0072322". The record is from RNAcentral. Lineage: Eukaryota; Metazoa; Chordata; Mammalia; Primates; Hominidae.
CCACCCCCAGCUCUUUUCCUGUUUAAAACUAACAUGAGACUUGUUCUCAAAAAGAUGGACUCAACCACACUCACAGCGGGUGCUACCCACUGAUUUUCUCUUGGUGGAGCAAGUUCCUGUUUUCUAAUUCUCAUUCUCAUUUUCAUUCUCUUUCUUUCCAUUCUUUCUUUCUUUCCAUGACCUCUCUAAGAGGUCAUGCUCUGGGGGAACAUAGUUCUGUUUCUGUUUUUCAAUUGGGGCAUAAUGGAAACUAGUAUCUAGUGCUUCCCAGGUAGAGAAAUUGUCAAGGGUGACCCCAUACAUCUUAAACUUUCCUCUUAAAUGGGUGUUUGAUAUCAAGAUUAUUUAGCUGAGAAUGUGAGUUUCUGAGGGUUGGCUUAAAUGCUCUUAAACUAAAGUGAAACUGUUGGUCUUUAGAAUCAGACCGACUCCAAAAUACCAAAGCAUUAUUCCGAUUUGAAAACUUCAAAAACAUCAACUGAUAUUUUUUGAGGAGUGGGGAUAGGGAAACAUGUAAAACUUAUUCUAGCAUAGUAGGAGACCUCAUACUCCAUUCUGAAAGUGACCAAAGGAGUCCACUUUGCAUCGGAUGUCCUAGAAGGAAGACCUCCCUGGGAACCCUGGAGAACCUUUUCUUCUAUGGAGAGUGUCCCAACAUCUAAAUAGGUAUCGCUACGCUUUUUUUUUUUUUUUUUUUUUUUUUUUUUUGCCUCUGGGCAGAAAUACUUUGUUUAUUCUCCUUUCCCUAGGGAACUUCCCCAAAGAUCGAAGCAAGAGGGGCUGGGGCCAUCCAAGCAGAUCCAAACCAUCUAAACAGGGUUGGCACUGCGGCUAUCUGCGGCAUGGCAGAGCUGGGUCCACCGCGCGCGGUACCUGGUGUUCCAAGUGCUUGGCUCCGCAGGGCCUGGGAGCCGGGGGCCGGGAGAGGCUUAAGAGACUGUGAUCGGGGCUAGUCAUGGACAUAGGGGAGGGCUAAACCCAAGCGCUGAGCCCCAGAGGGGCCGGGCUGGGUAGAUGGAACGGGGACCAGAGGAGUCUCCCCACAGCCCAGAGGAAGCUUAGCUUUGGGCAAGAGCGCAAAGAGCUGCAGCAGGCGCUCUUUGUGCUUCUUAUUUCCCCUGGUGGAAAUAGUCUGCUUAAACUCCUGUUCUUUGCGCCUGCAAACUCCCGUCCUCCCACCUCUGUUCUCGCGCGCGGAGAGGCCUGCUUCUUGGGAAGAAGGGAGACAGAAUCUUUUGGAAAGGCAGCCGGCCUGCGCCUCCUCCCUUUCGUGGCGGGCAGGGCGAAGAGCCCGGAGCUCUGCGCGUGAGAGACAGGAGGAAAGAGAUCCAGAGGCCUGAGCUUCCCAGGCCAGGCAGUAGUGAGCCGGCUGUCUGGGACCUCUGCGCAGGACAGAGCUCAGCACAUUGCACAAAGCGCCGGCAGCUCCCUUUUCAGCCUCACACAGUGCGGGCCCUCCUCCCUAUGUCCCUUGACGGAACGAAGAGGGAUUUUCCUUCUGAGCCUACUGUGUGUGUGUGUGUGUGUGUGUGUGUGUGUGUGUGUGUGUGUGCGCGCGCGCGCGCGCGCUAAAGACAACACUCAGGGAAAACCGUGUCCAGUUUUAGAACCCCAGCCGUACCUGGUGAGGUUCAGUCCGACCGGCCUCUAGUAACUCAGACCUAAAGCCCUUGUGUAUGUGUGUUGUCAUUAACUCCUGUGGCUUGAACCUAUUGGGUGGCGUCUUUAUAGAACCUAAUCAGAAAUCACACCGGUUGAGGAUUAGUGGGGCUCAGCUUGCAGGGAAUGAGAUCUCUUCGUUUUCCUGUUUCCAGUUUCUUCACUUCUCUCCCUAAGAUAACAAGCCCAGGCCGCACUGAGGAGAGAGCCAGUUGCCCUGCUGAGGGAAGAGCUAGAAAUAAGUCUUCUCUGGGACCAGGCUUAAAGGAAGUGAUUCUGCUAGGCUAUGGGAAGGGGGGUGGGCUGGAAGGGACUAGAAGGGAGCCAAAUUAACUGAAUAUUAGGGUGACCGGGAAAAAAAGCCCCAAAACUCAAAGCUCUAAAGGCAUCUCUGGGCUGCUUUGAAAAAGUGAGAUUAUAAAUCUUUGAACAGAAUACUUCCUGUCCCUGACUUUUUGUUUUCUUAACAUUGAGGGAAACCCGCUAAUUCUGCUUGUAGCAUCGUUAUUAAGUUUCCACUGUUUGCUUCUGACCUGUUUGAUGGAUUGUUGCUCUUCCUAAAACUAUUCUGACUCUACAAAUUCCUUCACAUAAUUCAAGUUUUCGUACUGAGAGAAAUGAGGAAGUAGAAAGAAGAAAACAAAAACUAGAUGGGGGAUUUUUACCCUUCCUUGCUAAAUAAAGGUUUACCUGUCGUUAAUGGUCAGUGUCAUUCCAAAUGGAGUGAUUUGUCCUAUCAACUGUGAGGAGGUUGCCUAUUUUAAGGAUGGAGAGGCACUGCCUGGUAGAUGCCAUCAUGACUAAAGGUGU